This 239-nucleotide unclassified non-coding RNA is filed under the name Hevea brasiliensis (rubber tree). Lineage: Eukaryota; Viridiplantae; Streptophyta; Magnoliopsida; Malpighiales; Euphorbiaceae. The record is from RNAcentral.
GACUAUAUCUAGGCAAGAGAUCAUAACAACAUGUUCCUAUUUGAUCAGAAAAUUUUCAAAUUAAUAGUACUUACAAAAUUUUCAAGAACUCUAUCAUGAUUGCAAACCCAAAAAAGCCAUUUGCCAAAUAUAGUGGAUGAAGGAACAAUGGCAACUCGAAUAGAGGAGCACAUUUAGUAGCGUGGAAAGACAACCAUAGUUAAGAAAUAGUGACUAGAACAAAAUAGUGAAAAAUCACA